GAAAGGACCGCCUCCGCAUGCAGAGGCGCGAUGCAUACGGUGUUUGCCUUUCACGCCAGCGACCAGGGUUCACUUCUAUGCCACGUCGUUUGUUAUACUGUUAUCAGACGUGGGUUGGCAGCGGUGAGGACAUCGGAACGUACGGCUCGAUGUGUGAGGGGAAAGAGAGGAGGAUCAAUGGAGUUAAUCUACUCUACAAGUAGGAAAUCCGCUUCCUUCCUAAAAGAGGACGUGUCCUGCUUGCCAGUGCAGCUUUCACCCCGCUCAGUCACCAGUCUGUACCAUGUUUGUUUUUCUACGUUUAUUAAGUUCUCCCCCAACAGGAAAACAAAUAAUAUCAAGACGUCAUCGGCUGCAAGGUUUGUUCUCUUCUUU
Long non-coding RNA from Oncorhynchus tshawytscha (Chinook salmon), 375 nucleotides. NCBI's taxonomy places the organism in Eukaryota, Metazoa, Chordata, Actinopteri, Salmoniformes, Salmonidae. The record is from Ensembl.